This is a non-coding RNA of Drosophila kikkawai, 828 nucleotides long. The record is from RefSeq and is a predicted model, not a curated record. NCBI's taxonomy places the organism in Eukaryota, Metazoa, Arthropoda, Insecta, Diptera, Drosophilidae.
UUGGUUCAAUAACAGUAAAGCUACUGUCAAUGUAUUUUGUUGUUGGAUUUGGUGACUGCACGACAGUUUAUAUGACAGUCAAUUACAGUCACCCUUACGUACGAGAUUCUGUGUGUUUUUUCUUGUUGGCUUUGCGAGCUGUCGUAACUGUCAGCUGCAGUCAAAAUACUGUAGGUUUAACGUAAAAAGUUUUAUGUGUUUCUUUAUCUUGUUUGGUAUCGUGUAUGUAUUUUUGCAUUCCCAAGGUAAGUAACAUUAACAUUUUAUAAUUUUAUUAAAUAUUUUAUGAAAAUCCAUUGAUUUUUCUGCCCACUAAAAUACUUUCUGGUAUAAUUCUGGUAUAUAUUUCCAAACUUCUAGUAUAUAGCAAGCGUUUCUUGAAAAAACGAUUUCGGGCACACUUAAAAAGCGGCGUCGGUUUCGAGAAGUUGUGCAGCGAAAAAGUGAAGUGAAAAAGUUAAAAGUAAAAGUUAUGAGUGAUAUUGACGAAGUGGCUACCUUGGAGGAUCUUCUGGAGGAGUGGGAUUUCAGAGACCUAUCGCCCACAUUUCUCGCGAUCAGCGGACAUGUACAUGCAUGCAAAUGUAUUUUUUGGCUUCUUGUUGACUUGCGAUGCCAACCAUCUCAGGCGAGUGCGAGCAAGAUAGCUGGCACUGACAUCCAAGAACCGUGAGAGUAUUCACAUGUAACUAUAAAACAUAACUAUGUAAAUGGAAUCAACAAAAUAAAAGCUAUAGUCGAGACAAAAGUACUAGUUCGGAUGUGAAAUAUGGACAAAUAUAUAUUUGAAAUAUAUAUAUAUAUAAGUCCAUAAUAUUAUUAAUUAAG